GGUGAACGCUGGCGGCGUGCUUAACACAUGCAAGUCGAACGGAAAGGCUCCUGCUUGCAGGGGUACUCGAGUGGCGAGCGGGGGAGUAACACGUGGGUGAUCUGCCCUACACUUCGGGAUAAGCCUGGGAAACUGGGUCUAAUACCGGAUAGGACGCUGGUUUGGAUGCCAUUCUGGAAAGUUUUGCGGUGUGGGAUGAGCUCGCGGCCUAUCAGCUUGUUGGUGGGGUAAUGGCCUACCAAGGCGUCGACGGGUAGCCCGCCUGAGAGGGUGUACGGCGACAUUGGGACUGAGAGACGGACCAGACUCCUACGGGGGGCAGAAGUGGGGAAUAUUGCCCAAUGGGCGCAAGCCUGAUGCAGCGACGCCGCGUGGGGGAUGACGGCCUCCGGGUUGUAAACUCCUUUCGCUAGGGACGAAGCGCAAGUGACGGUACCUGGAGAAGAAGCACCGGCUAACUACGUG
Molecule: ribosomal RNA, 465 nt
Filed under: uncultured bacterium
Lineage: Bacteria
Description: partial 16S ribosomal RNA
Rfam family: Bacterial small subunit ribosomal RNA
Source: RNAcentral